RNAcentral lists this ribosomal RNA (469 nucleotides) under uncultured bacterium. RNAcentral's name for it is "bacterial SSU rRNA". It matches the Rfam family "Bacterial small subunit ribosomal RNA", at positions 45 to 518 of the family's 1533-position model. The record is from RNAcentral.
UGCCUAACACAUGCAAGCGAACGGAGCGAAGCGAGGUGCUUGCACCUGGCCGAGCUUAGUGGCGGACGGGUGAGUAACACGUAAGCAAUCUGGCCUAUCAGGGGGAUAACAUUGAGAAAUCAGUGCUAAUACCGCAUAAGACCACAACGUCGCAUGACGAAGGGGUAAAAAGGAGCAAUCCGGAAUAGGAUGAGCUUGCGUCCCAUUAGCUAGUUGGAGGGGUAACGGCCCACCAAGGCAACGAUGGGUAGCCGGACUGAGAGGUUGAACGGCCACACUGGGACUGAGACACGGCCCAGACUCCUACGGGAGGCAGCAGUGGGGAAUAUUGGGCAAUGGGGGGAAACCCUGACCCAGCAACGCCGCGUGAGAGAAGAAGGUCUUCGGAUUGUAAAUCUCUGUCUUCGGGGACGAAACAAAUGACGGUACCCGGAGAGGAAGCCCCGGCUAACUACGUGCCAGCCGCCGC